Molecule: ribosomal RNA, 305 nt
Filed under: Clostridioides difficile
Lineage: Bacteria; Bacillati; Bacillota; Clostridia; Peptostreptococcales; Peptostreptococcaceae
Description: partial 16S ribosomal RNA
Rfam family: Bacterial small subunit ribosomal RNA
Source: RNAcentral
UUUUAUUUGAGAGUUUGAUCCUGGCUCAGGAUGAACGCUGGCGGCGUGCCUAACACAUGCAAGUUGAGCGAUUUACUUCGGUAAAGAGCGGCGGACGGGUGAGUAACGCGUGGGUAACCUCCCCUGUACACACGGAUAACAUACCGAAAGGUAUGCUAAUACGGGAUAAUAUAUUUGAGAGGCAUCUCUUAAAUAUCAAAGGUGAGCCAGUACAGGAUGGACCCGCGUCUGAUUAGCUAGUUGGUAAGGUAACGGCUUACCAAGGCGACGAUCAGUAGCCGACCUGAGAGGGUGAUCGGCCACAU